GUCUAUGGCCAUGCCACCCUGAACAAGCCUGAUCCCGUCUGAUCUCGGAAGCUAGGUAGGGUUGAGCCUGGUGAGUAUUUGGAUGGGAGACCACCUAGAAAGACCAGGUCCUAUAGGCG
RNAcentral lists this ribosomal RNA (119 nucleotides) under Pteropus alecto (black flying fox). The record is from RNAcentral. Lineage: Eukaryota; Metazoa; Chordata; Mammalia; Chiroptera; Pteropodidae.